This is a long non-coding RNA of Scophthalmus maximus (turbot), 772 nucleotides long. RefSeq lists it as uncharacterized. The record is from RefSeq and is a predicted model, not a curated record. The transcript has 4 exons. NCBI's taxonomy places the organism in Eukaryota, Metazoa, Chordata, Actinopteri, Pleuronectiformes, Scophthalmidae.
CAAAAGCCAAACGCCAAGGUUAGAGGGGAGCCAACAGCAUGUCAGAGGUGCACUUUUGUUUUCUGAAGAAGUACAGCCCAAAGAAAGACACUCUUCAACAGACUGAAGAGCAAAGAGACAAUGUUAGGAGGGUUUGACAGGUGGAAACGCUGGAGGUCACGGAGGAUUUUCCAAGCUUUUAGAGCUGCUUCAAAACCAAAGCCACAACUUUAACAUCACAUCAGUAAUAGAGGAGCAUGCCAGUGAUUUUGUACUGUUCCUCUGCGAAACUGGGGGACUCAUAAAAGUAAGAGGGUGGAACUUGCAGGAUGCUGGUGCAAUUUGAGCACUCUGAACCAACUGUAGAUGGGCAAAGGCUGCAUGAUUAAGAAGAGAAAAUAAUGAUUUAUGCAAUUAUCAAGAUGCGCAGUGCAUCCAGCAGCUUCGACCCUCGGAGCUGAGCUCUCAGGAGGCCGACGUCCAGAGUCAUGAGGCCGGACUCGGGGCUCUCUCCGUGCGUCACGCGGGGCUCACCUCCACCUCCCACUGCCUCGGCUUUGGGCAGCAGGCAGUGGACAAAGUGAACCCUGGAGCGACGCACCAUGUCAAUCAGAGCAUCCUAAAAGAAGAUAGAAGGCGACAGUUGACAUGAAGAUGCUUCUUCAUGUCCAUCUGUGAACUGGGUUGGGUUUCAAAACAUCAAUCAAGACCGGAUGAUGAAUCAAAACCAGGGACUCAAAUUUUAAGGCAGAGACAAAUGGACAGAUUUAAGGAUCCAGGUAAUCUUGAGAUA